This is an RNA transcript of Odobenus rosmarus divergens (Pacific walrus), 426 nucleotides long. RefSeq lists it as uncharacterized. Lineage: Eukaryota; Metazoa; Chordata; Mammalia; Carnivora; Odobenidae. The transcript has 3 exons. The record is from RefSeq and is a predicted model, not a curated record.
CGCUCCUAGAAAGCAGCCGCGGUGACCUAAAGCUUUGCUUGGUGUAAAUUACAAUAAAUAAUCUUUUCUUUCCAAAACAGGAUUAUGGCCUAUAAAAUGCUUCAAGUAGCCCUGUGUUCAACAUUGCUUAUAGGAGCAUUGGGAGCGCCAUUUUUGUUGGAGGACCCAGCAAACCAGUUCCUACAUCUCAAAAGACAUAUAUAUUUGCAGGAUUACUGGGACCCAGAUCAGAAUCCAAAUAUGUGGGGCAACUCGCUGGCUGAUCAGGUUCGUGAAACAUGGACUGCUUUGAAAACAACAGCACAGUAUUAUCUGAAUGUGAAUGCCUUCACGUCUGACAUAUCCACUGCCCAGUAAAUGUGCUUUGAUGAUUAAACCAGGAGAGCAAAAACAGCGGGAGUCAACAUGGCAAUGGACCCAAACCAU